This 66-nucleotide transfer RNA is filed under the name Marmota monax (woodchuck). Its description in RNAcentral is "tRNA.Leu". The stretch from base 5 to 60 matches the Rfam family "tRNA", at positions 8 to 63 of the family's 71-position model. Rfam says of the family: Transfer RNA (tRNA) molecules are approximately 80 nucleotides in length. Lineage: Eukaryota; Metazoa; Chordata; Mammalia; Rodentia; Sciuridae. The record is from RNAcentral.
GUUGUAGCUCAGUGGUAGAGCACUUACCUCAAAAGUGUAAGGCACUGGUUCGAUCCUAGUACCACA